GCUCAGGAUGAACGCUAGCUACAGGCUUAACACAUGCAAGUCGAGGGGUAGCAGGGUAGCAAUACCGCUGACGACCGGCGCACGGGUGAGUAACACGUAUCCAACCUUCCCAUAACUCGGGGAUAGCCUUUCGAAAGAAAGAUUAAUACCCGAUAGUACUUAUAUAAGGCAUCUUAAAUAAGUUAAAGAUUUAUUGGUUAUGGAUGGGGAUGCGUUCCAUUAGAUAGUUGGUGAGGUAAUGGCUCACCAAGUCUUCGAUGGAUAGGGGUUCUGAGAGGAAGGUCCCCCACAUUGGUACUGAGACACGGACCAAACUCCUACGGGAGGCAGCAGUGAGGAAUAUUGGUCAAUGGGCGAGAGCCUGAACCAGCCAA
This 374-nucleotide ribosomal RNA is filed under the name uncultured Bacteroidales bacterium. RNAcentral's name for it is "bacterial SSU rRNA". It matches the Rfam family "Bacterial small subunit ribosomal RNA", at positions 22 to 395 of the family's 1533-position model. Lineage: Bacteria; Pseudomonadati; Bacteroidota; Bacteroidia; Bacteroidales. The record is from RNAcentral.